CGCUAGCUACAGGCUUAACACAUGCAAGUCGAGGGGCAGCAUGGUCUUAGCUUGCUAAGGCCGAUGGCGACCGGCGCACGGGUGAGUAACACGUAUCCAACCUGCCGUCUACUCUUGGACAGCCUUCUGAAAGGAAGAUUAAUACAAGAUGGCAUCAUGAGUCCGCAUGUUCACAUGAUUAAAGGUAUUCCGGUAGACGAUGGGGAUGCGUUCCAUUAGAUAGUAGGCGGGGUAACGGCCCACCUAGUCUUCGAUGGAUAGGGGUUCUGAGAGGAAGGUCCCCCACAUUGGAACUGAGACACGGUCCAAACUCCUACGGGAGGCAGCAGUGAGGAAUAUUGGUCAAUGGGCGAGAGCCUGAACCAGCCAAGUAGCGUGAAGGAUGACUGCCCUAUGGGUUGUAAACUUCUUUUAUAAAGGAAUAAAGUCGGGUAUGGAUACCCGUUUGCAUGUACUUUAUGAAUAAGGAUCGGCUAACUCCGUGCCAGCAGCCGCGGUAAUACGGAGGAUCCGAGCGUUAUCCGGAUUUAUUGGGUUUAAAGGGAGCGUAGAUGGAUGUUUAAGUCAGUUGUGAAAGUUUGCGGCUCAACCGUAAAAUUGCAGUUGAUACUGGAUAUCUUGAGUGCAGUUGAGGCAGGCGGAAUUCGUGGUGUAGCGGUGAAAUGCUUAGAUAUCACGAAGAACUCCGAUUGCGAAGGCAGCCUGCUAAGCUGCAACUGACAUUGAGGCUCGAAAGUGUGGGUAUCAAACAGGAUUAGAUACCCUGGUAGUCCACACGGUAAACGAUGAAUACUCGCUGUUUGCGAUAUACGGCAAGCGGCCAAGCGAAAGCGUUAAGUAUUCCACCUGGGGAGUACGCCGGCAACGGUGAAACUCAAAGGAAUUGACGGGGGCCCGCACAAGCGGAGGAACAUGUGGUUUAAUUCGAUGAUACGCGAGGAACCUUACCCGGGCUUAAAUUGCAGAUGAAUUACGGUGAAAGCCGUAAGCCGCAAGGCAUCUGUGAAGGUGCUGCAUGGUUGUCGUCAGCUCGUGCCGUGAGGUGUCGGCUUAAGUGCCAUAACGAGCGCAACCCUUGUUGUCAGUUACUAACAGGUUCUGCUGAGGACUCUGACAAGACUGCCAUCGUAAGAUGUGAGGAAGGUGGGGAUGACGUCAAAUCAGCACGGCCCUUACGUCCGGGGCUACACACGUGUUACAAUGGGGGGUACAGAGGGCCGCUACCACGCGAGUGGAUGCCAAUCCCAAAAACCUCUCUCAGUUCGGACUGGAGUCUGCAACCCGACUCCACGAAGCUGGAUUCGCUAGUAAUCGCGCAUCAGCCACGGCGCGGUGAAUACGUUCCCGGGCCUUGUACACACCGCCCGUCAAGCCAUGGGAGCCGGGGGUACCUAAAGUGCGUAACCGCGAGGAGCGCCCUAGGGUAAAACUC
RNAcentral lists this ribosomal RNA (1432 nucleotides) under uncultured organism. RNAcentral describes it as "SSU rRNA". It matches the Rfam family "Bacterial small subunit ribosomal RNA". The record is from RNAcentral.